AGCCUGAUGCAGCGACGCCGCGUGAGGGAUGACGGCCUUCGGGUUGUAAACCUCUUUCAGCAGGGAAGAAGCGAAAGUGACGGUACCUGCAGAAGAAGCGCCGGCUAACUACGUGCCAGCAGCCGCGGUAAUACGUAGGGCGCAAGCGUUGUCCGGAAUUAUUGGGCGUAAAGAGCUCGUAGGCGGUUUGUCGCGUCUGCUGUGAAAGCCCGGGGCUCAACCCCGGGUCUGCAGUGGGUACGGGCAGACUAGAGUGCAGUAGGGGAGACUGGAAUUCCUGGUGUAGCGGUGAAAUGCGCAGAUAUCAGGAGGAACACCGAUGGCGAAGGCAGGUCUCUGGGCUGUAACUGACGCUGAGGAGCGAAAGCAUGGGGAGCGAACAGGAUUAGAUACCCUGGUAGUCCAUGCCGUAAACGUUGGGCACUAGGUGUGGGGGACAUUCCACGUUUUCCGCGCCGUAGCUAACGCAUUAAGUGCCCC
This 480-nucleotide ribosomal RNA is filed under the name Arthrobacter sp. RNAcentral's name for it is "bacterial SSU rRNA". It matches the Rfam family "Bacterial small subunit ribosomal RNA", at positions 380 to 870 of the family's 1533-position model. Lineage: Bacteria; Bacillati; Actinomycetota; Actinomycetes; Micrococcales; Micrococcaceae. The record is from RNAcentral.